Molecule: non-coding RNA, 117 nt
Filed under: Nomascus leucogenys (northern white-cheeked gibbon)
Lineage: Eukaryota; Metazoa; Chordata; Mammalia; Primates; Hylobatidae
Source: Rfam by way of RNAcentral
GCCAGGUGUGGUGGCUCACGCCUGUGAUCCCAGCACUUUGGGAGGCUGAGGUGGGAGGAUCACUUGAGCCCAGGAGUUUGAGACCAGCCUGGGCAACAUAGUGAGAUCUUAUCUCUA